Molecule: ribosomal RNA, 497 nt
Filed under: uncultured bacterium
Lineage: Bacteria
Description: partial 16S ribosomal RNA
Rfam family: Bacterial small subunit ribosomal RNA
Source: RNAcentral
GAUGAACGCUGGCGGCGUGCCUAAUACAUGCAAGUCGAGCGAACGGACGAGAAGCUUGCUUUUCUGAUGUUAGCGGCGGACGGGUGAGUAACACGUGGAUAACCUACCUAUAAGACUGGGAUAACUUCGGGAAACCGGAGCUAAUACCGGAUAAUAUUUUGAACCGCAUGGUUCAAGAGUGAAAGACGGUCUUGCUGUCACUUAUAGAUGGAUCCGCGCUGCAUUAGCUAGUUGGUAAGGUAACGGCUUACCAAGGCAACGAUGCAUAGCCGACCUGAGAGGGUGUUCGGCCACACUGGAACUGAGCCACGGUCCAGACUCCUACGGGAGGCAGCAGUAGGGAAUCUUCCGCAAUGGGCGAAAGCCUGAAGGAGCAACGCCGCGUGAGUGAUGAAGGUCUUCGGAUCGUAAAACUCUGUUAUUAGGGAAGAACAUAUGUGUAAGUAACUGUGCACAUCUUGACGGUACCUAAUCAGAAAGCCACGGCUAACUACGUG